GCCCGCUUAGCUCACCGGUAGAGCGCCUCACUAGUAACGAGGACACGAGGCAAGGUGCCUUCUACUUCUACUAAGUUUAUGAGGAGGCAACUGGUUCGACUCCAGUAGUGGGCA
This is a non-coding RNA of Xylaria telfairii, 114 nucleotides long. The record is from the annotation of a GenBank genome assembly. NCBI's taxonomy places the organism in Eukaryota, Fungi, Ascomycota, Sordariomycetes, Xylariales, Xylariaceae.